Pelodiscus sinensis (Chinese soft-shelled turtle) is the source of this 419-nucleotide non-coding RNA. The record is from RefSeq and is a predicted model, not a curated record. NCBI's taxonomy places the organism in Eukaryota, Metazoa, Chordata, Testudines, Trionychidae.
GCAACUGAGGUGUCCCUCAAGGAGUUACAGCGCCUCCAGAUUUACCAUGUCUGUUGAUGAUGGUGUCAACUGCGUCCAGACAAAACUGAGCUAAGUAAAAAGGAAAAUCACUUGAUAUAUGAUAUCAUAAUAAAUAUAGAAGAGAACAUAAAUAUAAAUGGAGAAAAUUUACUAGGCACCAAACCAGUCAAAAGAGCAACUACAGUACUGCCAAUUUUGUUGGAUGAGGAUAAUUUUUCACAUAACUUCAGGAGCAGCUACAGUUACAAGAAGCAAAAACUUAUUUCAAGCCAUUUGUUCUGGAGAAGAGGAACUGUAAUUCAGGCAAUCUGGACAUUUUACCAGAAGGUCACUGUCCUGUUCUGUGAUUUAAGGCAAGUCUUUUAGGGUUUGAAACUUACCCUGUGCUGAGAGCAAUA